This 425-nucleotide ribosomal RNA is filed under the name uncultured Glomeromycotina. RNAcentral describes it as "SSU rRNA". It matches the Rfam family "Eukaryotic small subunit ribosomal RNA", at positions 670 to 1092 of the family's 1831-position model. Lineage: Eukaryota; Fungi; Glomeromycota. The record is from RNAcentral.
AUUGUCUGUACUGGUGAGAUGAGUCUCUACCUUCUGAGGAACUUUCAUGCCAUUUAUUUGGUGUGGUUGGAAAUCAGGACAGUUACUUUGAAAAAAUUAGAGUGUUUAAAGCAGGCUAACGUCUGAAUACAUUAGCAUGGAAUAAUGAAAUAGGACGGAUUGAUUCUAUUUCGUUGGUUUCUAGGGUCACCGUAAUGAUUAAUAGGGAUAGUUGGGGGCAUUAGUAUUCAAUUGUCAGAGGUGAAAUUCUUGGAUUUAUUGAAGACUAACUACUGCGAAAGCAUUUGCCAAGGAUGUUUUCAUUAAUCAAGAACGAAAGUUAGGGGAUCGAAGACGAUCAGAUACCGUCGUAGUCUUAACCAUAAACUAUGCCGACUAGGGAACGGACGCAGUUAAUUUUAUAAUGACGUGUUCGGCACCUUACG